RNAcentral lists this long non-coding RNA (1151 nucleotides) under Marmota monax (woodchuck). Lineage: Eukaryota; Metazoa; Chordata; Mammalia; Rodentia; Sciuridae. The record is from RNAcentral.
UCAAACACAGGUGGGUUGAGAGUUAAAGAAUGUAAAAAAUGAAACCUAUAAAUAGAAACCAGGAGAGAGCUGGAUUAGCUAUAUUUGUGUCAGACAAAAUAGACUUAAGAUAAAGUUGUUACAGAAAACAUUUUGUACUAAUACAGGGCUAAUUCAGCAGGAGGGUGCAACAAUAAGCCCUACGAACUUAACAACUGAGCCUCAAGUGCAUGAAACUAAGAGUGCAGAACCGCGGAGGGCACGCCACUCAGGGAUGCUAGUUGGAGGUUUCAAUAUUUUCAAUAAUUUACAGAACAAUUGGGCAGGAAAUCACCGUAGGUAUUGCUCCAGUUCACCUGUGGUUGAGUGUGUACCCAGAGGCUGGGACCCUCCAGGGGCAGCGUUAGAAGGAGGUCGAGCGUUUCAGAGGUGAGGCCCAGUACAAGAUGAGGAGGCCAUUGGGGUGCCACCCUCAGAGAGGACUCACAACCUUGUGGAGUCGGUUCUCGUGACAGCAGACUGUCCUUUGUAAAGCAGAGCCAUCCCCUGUCCUUGGCCUCUUCCGCACGUGGCUCUGUCCCCUUCUCUGUCAUGGUGUGGCCCAUCCAAAGCUCCCCUCAACAGAGCCCAGACAGAGGAGACUGCCUGAUCUUGGACAUUCAGCUGCCAACACUGAGAGCUAAGUGAAUUCCUCUCCUUUAUGAAGUACCCAGCAUCAGGUACCUGGUCACAGCAAUGAAAAGCACGCUACUACUGAUAAAGAACACUGAACCACACUACGCUCAACUUGUCCCCAUAGACUUCCUACGACUUUGAACCCAACAACAGCAGAGUCAAUACUUUCUCCAGGAUUGGCCAUAAACUAAACCAUAGAAUAUACCCUAAAAAUUUCUUAAAACUUGAAAGUUUGUAUUCUGGUCACCAUAGAAAUAAACUGGAAAUCCAUGAAUUUUUGGAAAUUAACAGCAUAGUCAUAAAUAGCAUAUGUCAAAAGAAAAACUAUGAGAGAAAUUAGAAAUAUUUUAACUCAAUGAAAUUGAAAACACAGCAUAUCAACAUUUAAGAGAUACAGUUAAAGCAAUACAGGAAAAAUCAUAGCUUUUUAUUAGAGUCUGUAAACAAGUCAAGAUGGCGCCUGGCAUUUUGCCAGAGGGAGUGGUUUGUGAAGUAAC